This 200-nucleotide unclassified non-coding RNA is filed under the name Pleosporales sp. Its description in RNAcentral is "partial internal transcribed spacer 2". The record is from RNAcentral. Lineage: Eukaryota; Fungi; Ascomycota; Dothideomycetes; Pleosporales.
UUAAGUUCAGCGGGUCUUCCUACCUGAUCCGAGGUCAAGCGUAAAAUUGUAGACUUGUGGAUGCCACCGUCAGCAGUGGAGAGCGCAAAAUGUGCUGCGCUCCCACACGGGACGGCGGGCUGCCAAUGUAUUUGAGGCGAGUUCACGCACGCAGCGGAACAAACGCCCAACACCCAGCAGGGCUGGAGGGUACAAAUGAC